RNAcentral lists this ribosomal RNA (378 nucleotides) under uncultured organism. Its description in RNAcentral is "partial 16S ribosomal RNA". It matches the Rfam family "Bacterial small subunit ribosomal RNA", at positions 525 to 896 of the family's 1533-position model. The record is from RNAcentral.
GUAGGGGGGCCAAACGUUGCCCGGAUUUAUUGGGCGUAAAGGGCUCGUAGGCGGGUUCAACAAGUCGGUCGUGAAAUGCCGGGGGCUCAACCCCGGAACGCCGGUCGAAACUGUUGUGACUAGGGUCCGGUAGAGGUGAGUGGAAUUCUCGGUGUAGCGGUGGAAUGCGCAGAUAUCGAGAGGAACACCAGUUGCGAAGGCGGCUCACUGGGCCGGUACCGACGCUGAGGAGCGAAAGCAUGGGGAGCAAACAGGAUUAGAUACCCUGGUAGUCCAUGCCGUAAACUGUGAACACUAGGUGUGGCGGAUCUAUUGAUGUCUGCCGUACCGUAGCUAACGCGUUAAGUGUUCCGCCUGGGGAGUACGGCCGCAAGGCUA